RNAcentral lists this ribosomal RNA (451 nucleotides) under uncultured eukaryote. RNAcentral describes it as "partial 18S ribosomal RNA". It matches the Rfam family "Eukaryotic small subunit ribosomal RNA", at positions 53 to 510 of the family's 1831-position model. The record is from RNAcentral.
GCAGCAUGUGCAAGUUCACUCCCGACGGAGGANACUGCGGACGGCUCAUUAUCACAGAAAGAAUCUGCGUGCCUACCUCCUUACGUGGAUAACCACAGCAAACCGUGGCUAAUACAUGCUUAAAAGCAGAGUCUAGUUUUGGAUUUUGCUGCAUACAUUAGUCAAAAAAAUAUCGCUUUUUUUUUUUUGGAGGAUAAACAAUGUAUUCCCGAAUCGCAUGACUUUGGUCGGCGAUGAUUCACAUGACUUUCUGCCCUAUCAACUGGGGAUGGUAGUGUAGUGGACUACCAUGGUAUCGACGGGUACGGGGAAUUAGGGUUCGAUUCCGGAAAGGGAGCCUGAAAAACGGCUACCACAUCUCGGGACUGCAGCAGGCGCGAAAAUUACCCACUGGUCAAAAACCGAGGUAGCGAAAAAAUAUAUCGGAGUCAAUGAAGUUAUCUUGGCUACC